RNAcentral lists this ribosomal RNA (379 nucleotides) under uncultured eukaryote. RNAcentral's name for it is "partial 18S ribosomal RNA". It matches the Rfam family "Eukaryotic small subunit ribosomal RNA", at positions 592 to 976 of the family's 1831-position model. The record is from RNAcentral.
CAAUAGCGUAUAUUUAAGUUGUUGCAGUUAAAAAGCUCGUAGUUGGAUUUCGGAUGGGAUUUGCCGGUCCGUCGUUACGAUGUGCACUGGCCAGUCCUAUCUUGUUGUCGGGGACUAGCUCCUUGGAUUCACUUCCUGGGACUAGGAGCUGACGAGGUUACUUUGAGUAAAUUAGAGUGUUCAAAGCAAGCCUACGCUCUGAAUACAUUAGCAUGGAAUAACACGAUAGGACUCUGGCUUAUCUUGUUGGUCUGUGAGACCAGAGUAAUGAUUAAGAGGGACAGUCGGGGACAUUCGUAUUUCAUUGUCAGGGGUGAAAUUCUUGGAUUUAUGAAAGACGAACUUCUGCGAAAGCAUUUGUCAAGGAUGUUUUCAUUAA